AACGAACGCUGGCGGCAUGCCUAACACAUGCAAGUCGAACGAGACCUCCGGGACUUUGCGCGUCCGGGUGUGUAACGCGUGGGAAGCGGCCCUUAGGUUCGGACUAACUCCCCGAAAGGGGUGCUAAUACCGGAUAAUGUCUUCGGACCAAAGAUUUAUCGCGUUUGGAUGGGCCCUCGUUGGAUUAGCUGGUUGGUAGGGUAAAAGCCUACCACGGCGACGAUUCAUAGCUGGUGUGUGAGGAUGGUCAGCCACACUGGGACUAAGACACGGCCCAGAAUCCUACGGGAGGGGGGAGUGGGGGAUAUUGGACAACGGGGUGAAGGAUGAACCAGCUAUGACGGGUAAGUGAUGAAGGCCUUAGGGUAGUAAAGCGCUUUUACCCGGGCUGAUAAUGACGGUACCGGGAGAAUAAGCUCCGGCUAACUCCGUG
RNAcentral lists this ribosomal RNA (433 nucleotides) under uncultured bacterium. Its description in RNAcentral is "partial 16S ribosomal RNA". It matches the Rfam family "Bacterial small subunit ribosomal RNA", at positions 29 to 507 of the family's 1533-position model. The record is from RNAcentral.